This 1109-nucleotide long non-coding RNA is filed under the name Homo sapiens (human). RNAcentral's name for it is "HSALNT0385177". Lineage: Eukaryota; Metazoa; Chordata; Mammalia; Primates; Hominidae. The record is from RNAcentral.
ACUUGGCGGCCCGUGGGCAGAGCCUUAAGUGCCAAGAAAGUCUCCGGGACUGGACCACCCGAGCCACUGCGCUUUUAGGCAGGUGGUAGGUUUCGCAAGGAGCUACCCUCCACCUUGUUUGCUUUAAGUAAAAGACUGAUGAGCAUUAGUGAUUCGUUUGAGCGUGUUGAUCUUUGCAGAUAAAUUUACGCCUCGUCCUAAAUUAUUUCAGAUUUUUGUGAUUUUGACCUAAAUUGUUCCUCCAUGCCCGAGAAUGAAUCUUUAAACUGUAAUAACAAAGACUGAAGGCCAAAGUUCCGAGUUCAAAAUCCUCCACCCGACCCUGCAAUGAAGGCAGCUUCAUUCAUUCAAAAUGAGUUGGGCAUUGGAGUAUUCAGUUAGUUGUUUUGGACACAAGGAUAAUUAAACUGCUUCCUGCUCUGGAGGAGUUCAUGCUAGUGGUGAAUUCAGAGAAUUUGACGAGAUCUAGUAGGUGAAGCACAGAGGACUACAAGAGCAAAUGGGAGUGACACCUAAUCUUAAUCCAGUUUUGGGAGACCCAGAUAAGGGACAGGAGGGCCGGGCGCAGUGGCUCAUACCUGUAAUCCUAACAUUUUGGGAGUCCGAGGCAGAAGGAUCGUUUAAGGCCAGGAGUUUGAGACCAGCCUAGGCAACAAAGUGAGACUUUGUCUCUACAAAAAAAAAAAAAUUUAAAUUAUAAAAAAAAACUGAUAAGAGGGCAGGGGGAGAUGGGUUUCUAGGCAGGGAAAUAGGAUAUGACAAACUAAGAAAAACUCAGCUUGUCCUAAGCAUAAAAUUAAAGGGGGGAAGAGGUAGCUAAUCUGGGAUCAGGUUUUAAAGGCUCCCAAGUCUUGUAAGAGACACGGACAUUAUCCUCAAAGCAGUGGGGAGCUUAUUUAAGAAAGUGAAAAGAGGCUGGGCAUGGUCUGUAAUCCCAGUACUUUGGGAGGUUUGAGGUCAGGAGUUUGAGAUCAGCCUGGCCAACAUGGUGAAACCCUGUCUCUACUAAAAAUGCAAAAAUUAGCUAGGCGUGGUGGUGCAUGCCUGUAAUCCCAGCUACUCAGGAGGCUGAGGCAGGAGAAUCACUUGAACCAAGGAGGCGGAGGUUG